GUGUUGAACAGAAGUCCUGGAGUACACAGACCAACGUUCUAUGAGGUCCUCCUACAUGGAGGGUGUCAUUCCCAAGCCUGGUACAGCCUUGCUUCUUUUCUGUCUCUCUGAACGGGGAGGGAAGACCAUCAGCCACAGACAGCAGCGGCAGAAGCAGCCUGCCAGCAGAUCUCAUGGCCCUUACAAAGGUCACAGCAGCCUGGCAUGUGACCUUUGAUGUCCCCUCCACACCUAACUUAAUGUCUACUGAGGACAUGUAAAGUCUCAGCGUUUGAGCAAUACCAAAACCAACCAACGGGGAGAUUCAUAGCAGCCACUACAUAAUCACCCCCAGCUGAGUGGACCUCUCUCUCCUCCUUGGUGCUGACACUUCCUGCUGAUCCCUUCAUGAAUACAGUUCCUUUCACUUCCUAAGCGGACUCAGAACCUGGAAAGGGCUCUCCUCUUGUCACUGUGACUGAAUAACUAACAAGAACCGGCUUGAGAGAAGCAGGAUGGAUUUUCACUCUGAGCACCCAAGUAAAACGUGUUGGGAUCACGCACUUCCUUCCCCAGAAUUUGGUGGCCUAGACAAGCAGAAUUCAGAUGUGGUAUCUGCUGCCCAUGAGUGAAGCCUCAGGGUGUGGCCAAGAGCUGGCAGAAGAGAUGGUCACUACUCAUCCACCCUUGUAACAAGUUCUCUCAAUAUGGCGUUGUCUCAUAAAAUCAGGCCAGGCAAAGAUGAAAGCGGGCAUAUGCCCUGUACAUCCUACUUGGAUCUGGAGUGUAUUAGAUGAUUUGCCAGCCUGCUCUGCCUUGCUCUCACUGGGGUACCAUUGAGUGGAUCCGUUACUGACACCUAAAGCGGCAGAGAGACUUCGGAGACAAUCAUGGGCCACUGAUAAACACUGUAUUAAUCACUUUUCUGUUGCUAUGAUAAAAUACUGUGAUUG
RNAcentral lists this long non-coding RNA (932 nucleotides) under Mus musculus (house mouse). Its description in RNAcentral is "predicted gene 44785". The record is from RNAcentral. Lineage: Eukaryota; Metazoa; Chordata; Mammalia; Rodentia; Muridae.